AGGGUAUGGACCUGUGCCCAAAGGGCCAUAUAUGCUCCUGGAAGUUGGUGGUGGCCGUAGUUCUCCAUCCAUUAAGCACACCCUCACCCACUAAUGUCCUUGAGAAAGGCUCUCCCUUUCCUGGUUUUCCUGAAUAGAAAUCCUCUUGCAUCUUGAGUGAAUAGGGGUAUGCAUUGUGCAGAGGGUGUUGGUCCACUGAGCAUCUUAGAGACUGUCCUUUAUGGAGCCUUUAUGGGGAAUGAGGCCAGGGUCCUAACUGUGGUUAGUGUGAGGACACCAUGGUUUCAGCAGAGGUAAAGAAGGACAAGGGAAACUCAGAAGUCCCUCAUGGCCCCUGGAGUUAGAGGACUUACUCCUUUGCACCUGGGAUCAGGAGACCUCAUUUCCUUGAGGACACGCACACUCAGGGGUAGGUCUUGAGUGUGGGGUCCUUACUGGGGUCCAGGGCUGUUGUUAGCCACCAGCAAUGACAGUGCUCUCCAUGCUCAGUGGAGCCAUUUUUGCCAGGAAAGAGAGCCCGUGGUCACGCCUUGUCCAAAGCAUCCCACGCCAGGGGCUCCCAUCCCUAGCACUCCUGUCCUGAAAGGAAGCCCCUCAGAGGCAAGGUGGGUCCAACCACCUCCCAUGUGUUCACUCAUCACCGUGUUCCAGCAGUCACCCCAGUUAACAGUCCUGAUGGGACUGGAUGUGGCUCAGAAUGUCACCCUCAUGAGCUCUACCCUGCUCCAGCUGCAGUUCUGCAGUGGGAGAAACACAAAACCUCAAAAUACAUGCACAUGAAUGAAAAGAGCAAGAGCCAGAGCCCAAACAGGCCAGGUGUGGCAAGGACAGCUGGAGUGCCUAGGUUGGGACUCAGAAUUAUGUCAGUGGGGUGGCAUUGCUGCUGGCACCAGCAUGAUAACAGAGAGCCAGGCCUGCUCAUUUUGGGGAGCAGUGUGUUGGGGAAGGCAGCAGAAAUUGAGAGGCAGGAUUGAGUUUGGCCCUAGGAGGAGGUUGGGUAAAAGGCCAGUGUGGGUUGGAGGGCCUGGGCAGAUAGAGAGAGGCCAGGGCACACCCCAAAGCCUGGAGACUGCACUUGAUGUCCAGGGUUGUGAGACACCACCUCCCCUCUUACUCACAACUGAGAGCAAGAGGCAUUGAUCAGUUCAGUUUGUGUGCGGCUGCAUCCAAGGUGGCUCGGCUAGGCACCUCUGUUUCCUUGACUCAGGAGGCUGGGAGUCCAGGCUCCACCGAGGCUCGGCUGGGAGGAUCAGAGUCUGAGUUCAUGCCUGUGUUCCUGGUAGGAUCCAUGUUGGCUAGCCUCAGUGUUUUUGUAAUGAGAGGAUGGGUGACUGUCAUGUCUUUAUCACAGGACACACUUGCUAAAUGGAUUUGUUUGCUCUGAGGAGGAAAGAGAGAGAGGGAAGUGGUGCUGGAGACAGGGAUGCAGACAGGGGUCAUGGACUUGGCAUAACUCAGUCUUGGAGAUGACAUCCCAUCACCUAUACCCACUUCAAUUCCCAUGAAUCCAGAGGCUGAGCCCCUUGAGGUGAGGGGUGAACUGGUUCUGGCAGCAGGAUGCUGUGGUACCUCGGAGUCUCUGUGAGACCCCAACACUCGACGCACUUGGGCCCUUUGGAAUUCUUAGGAGAAGCCUUGGGAAGUUGUAGGGCAGAGGGGAGCAGCCUCUGCAUCUCAGUCGCCUCCAACUUGCCAUGGUGCAGAGUGGGAACUGCAGCCAGGAUGGGACGGACGUUGGCCACGUCCCUGUGUGGGACACAGGCCUGAUUGAGUUGGGGUGCAUUCUUUGUCUCUCCGCUUCUUGUGAUUGUCCCAUCUCUACGUUUGUGCUUUAGCCACCUGUGAGUCCCAUCUCUGGUUUCAGAGAGAAUAGAGGCUGUUAUGGGCCAAUAGACACAAUAACCCUAGAGAUUAGAUGCUACCCUGCUUUCCAGAAAAGACUGGGCACGCCAUGAGUUGCACAAGGAUGAGACCAGGGUCCAAAAGCUGCUGAGAGGGAAGGACUGGUUGUGAAUGCAUUUUUGAAGGCUCCAAGCUGGAACUCUAGUGGCACCAAGCAGGGCAGAUGCUGGUGGGGGUAUUUGGGUAGUUGUUGGUGAACACAUGCGCACCUUAUAUGGGUAGGCAUGGAGGAGAAAUCAGCAGCCCAUAGGGCUUUUGAAAGUGGUCUUAUGUGAAAAGAGGCUCAGGUAUGGGCACAGGAAAUGACAUCAUCGCCUUGACAAUGGAUCAAACAGAACAUGGAACCCUGGUAUCCAGGCACCCACUUCACUGACCAAGCCAUCCGAGCUCAUUUGGUUGGAGACACUGAAGUGAGAAGGAUGUUCUCCUGUGGUUGCAAACAAUGCCGAACCUCAGGCUCCCAGGAAUCUCAGGGGGGCCCACCAGCCCUUUUGUGGAUACACUGGGUGAGGCUUCAUCUUAGAUGCCAGAGCCUCUGGCGAUUGUCGCAGAGGAGCUCAAGAGUAACAGGUGAAAAUGAUCAGAACACGGAGGAGCCCUUCAGGGUACAGAGCCUUGAAUCUUCCAGGCAGGACCAGCUUAGGAAUGAGCUCCUGCCUGACAUUUGUGGGAGGAACCUACAUUUCCGCAGCAACAUGGGGUUAAUCUCCUGGGAUUUCAUCCCCACCCAGCAGGUGCUGGAUCUCUUGUUCCCAAGUGCCUCACCUUCCUUCCCGGGGACCUGGGUGAACUUCUACACCGAGGCUUCCCAUCAGCCUCCAGGCUCUCUGAGUCUGCAGCUACUACUGCAAUCCAUGUGGCUCCUUCUGGGUGGCUUGAACCUGGAGCACGAAGCCCACCACCUGCUGGCCCAGACUGAAGAUGGCAAAUCAAGCCAGGCAGAGCCUGAGAGCCAGGCGGACUGGGCUACAAGCUCAGUUCCUGUCACGGCUCCUAAGCCAACCCCAGAGCCAGAGCCUUCUCCCUGGGAAGGGGCAGAGCCGGAGUCCAGGACAUCAGGGGUCUCCACUAGGAGCUCCUCACGGCCCCAGUACAACAAGCGGGUGGGAGGCAGCUGCCUCAUUCACGUCUACCUGGAAAACGAAAGGACAACAAAGUAUAAGAGCAUCCUGGUGACCUGCCAGGACAGGGUUCCAGUCAUUAUCCGCAGGGCCCUAGAUGCACACUUGCUCCAGCAGGAGGAUCCAGAAAACUUUGAGCUUCUGCAAAUUGUCUCGAACCAUCAGAAGCUGAGGAUCCCUGCUGAUGGGAACGUAUAUCACGCCCUGGAUGGCAGAGUGGAUUAUAACUUUCUUCUUCGGGAAACAGCUGCCAGCAAGUGGUCCAAGGUCAAGCCAAAGGAGUUCUUGGAGCCUUCUAUGGCAGUGGCAUCCAGGAUCCCAGCAGCUGUGAGCAGCAGCUCUGCAGUGGCUGCAGGACCAUUGCCCCAGGCCACCCAAAGCAAUGAGUGCUGCAUGAGAAAAGUCACCAGUAGCAGCUCCUCACUGUUUCACUCCAGCGAGCAGGUGGAAGACAGCCGCGUGGUUCACGUCCUCCUAGAGGGACAGAGCCCGAGGGAGACAAAGCGCAUCCUGCUCUCUGGAAACACCUCACGUGGAGCUGGCCUAAGCCAGCCAGAGCUCCUGACUGCUGCUCAGAGGCCAUCGGAGAGAUACGGACUCCUCCUCCCGUCCUGGCAAGAGGAAUGUUCACACAGAGAUGGAAGAUGCUGGGCAGGAAAGGGGGAGCCCGGAGCUGACGGGCCUCUGCCGAAACCUGGUAUCCUGGGCCCAGACCUGGCCACUGUCAGGCUUGCAAGCCCAGAAGGUCAAAGGCUGGAAUUCCAUCCAAACCAAAGGGCACCCAGAACAGUCCAGAUCUCCAAGUUCCUGUUCUGGUGGCCGCACGUCACCACGAGAUUCUGCCUCCCCGAUUUUCAAGGGUCUCUGGCUAAAAUGUCAGUGUCUUUGGGAACAGUCACCCUUUCGAGUCUCCAGGGGAAUCUGGAGCAGCUGAGGGUCUGAAUCCAGCCUGAGCUAGGGACCAGGGUGCAGAUGGGGCACUGUGGGAACUCUGGUGCCUAAGUCUGCGUGACACCUGAGCCUGGCCGCCUGGCCUGGGUGAGGCCUGGCGUCGGCCUUGGCGGUGGCCCUGGCUAGCUGUGAUUCAGCUCCAAGGAACCUGCUUCCUCGUCUGCAGCGUGGAAAGAUAGCAGCGUCCACACAGUAGAAUACCUUUGAGAGGUCACAGAGAAUUCGGGCAGCAUUCCUGGUGCCCGUCCUGCUGAGAACGCCCGUCAGUCAUCUAGAGCUCAAGUUUAACACAGAAGGCAGCGGCCAGCGGAUGGAGGGGGCAGGAGGGGCCCCACAAGGAGAGCUUGGCAGUGACCUCUGUCCCUCCAGAGCCCCUCUCCUGCCGCCUUCCUACAGAGGCCAGAAACCUCUAUCCCAUCUGCAGGGCCUGGGCAUGGGGGAGAGUAUCGUGGGAGACCCACAUGCCUCUGUGGGCACCAGGACAGAACGUGGCCCGCUCCACUGACUGGGCGAAAGUUGCCAAAGGGCCUCCUCUGCCAAGCCCUCCCACCAUGAUGCACUGGGCUCCCACAGGCCCAGAGCAACAGGGCCAAGCGACCGUGGACUGAAACCUCCGCAACCACGAACCAAGAUAAACCUUUUCUCUGAUUGAGUUGAUUAUCUCAGGUAUUUUGUGAUAUGACGGAAAGCUGACUCAUGGGACCCAUGAUGUUGUCUUGGGGAUUAAACGAAGAAGUGCUGAGAGCAGCAGGGGGACCCAGUGGCACUGCCUAUGUCCUAGCAGGUGCCUGUUGAACGUGUGCUGCUCAAGGAAGCCCAGCACUCCCCAGGUGUCACCCAGGGAGCCGGGCACCUAUGAAAGAGGGUCCUAGCUCAGAGCCAGUGUCUGCCUGAGGCGUGCCAGCUCCUUCAGGCUGUGAAGCUGGACACUGUGGGGACAGAACGAAGGCCUUGAACCAGGCAGAGAGUGGGGAGAAUCACUGUCAAUCUGUUUUUCCAAAUUGCGCUAUUUCAAAUGCCCUGGGCAGAUGCCCACGUGUGCGGGGUCACUCAGCUGGGCCAGAGGCCCUUUGUCUCCUUGAAAGGCCCCAUUGUGACCCCACACCAUCCCCAACUGCUUCUUGGAACAAGAGGCCCUUGUGUGGGCCCUGCAGGCCAGCUCCUCUGGCCCUCGGCUGGCAGCGGGGAUUCUGUCCCUGUGGGGUUGUUGCAGGGCGCCGUCCACCUCCACCUCCAAUAAGAGCCAGUGUUUCGUCAGGUUCUAGAACGUGGAGGAAGCCCUACUUCCCCAGAAGUGGGUCUUCUACAGAGGGGCAGAUGCCCUGGGGACGAACUAGGAGAGGACAGGUGGGGAGGUUGGCUUCCAGAGAAGGUGGGCAGCAUGGGACCCUCUGGGCCACCCUGCCCUGAGGGGAAGGUCACCAGGAGGAUGCCCCCAGGAGGUGCCCCUGAGCCUCCAGGAGCAAGGUGAACAUUCAGUGCCCUGUUGGAGUUGACCCACAGCGGCCUACCCGGGGGCCUCCUGGGCUGCACUCUCCCCGUGGGAGCCCCAGGGAGUGGCGUGAGGGCCCCAGAAGGCAGCAGGGACGGCCUGGGUGGCUCUCUGGGCUGAGUCCAGCCAGAGCACUGUCCACGGGAUCCAGAGGCCCAGCUCCACCCCUGAGGUCCCUGCCAGCUGGCCACUCCACUGGGCAUCUGCUAUCCCGUCCCUUCCCACUGAGCCCCGGCUCCAUCUGGUCCGCAAGCUUCGGCUCUUGGUCACAUCAGGGACAAGAGUCCCUCCAUCCUUUCUCAGGCCCGGGGAAAGGUGAGCUCUGCUCUGGGGGCCUAGGAAGCCUCAGGUCCCUCCCCUUGGCAAGGUACGUGCUGGGCCGGGCAGGCCUCUGGCUCUCCGAGGAGAGCCCAGGGGCUGCCUGACGGGGCACUGUCAUGGCCCCGCUCUCGAAAAGAAGACGGAGUCCAAGGCCCACGCACCCCCGCCUGUGAGGCCCUGGUCGAGGUCGGGGCUGUCCCUCUGCCCACACAGGCAGGUGCCCGUGCCACGUGCAUGUCCACCAGAGGUGCUCACGGUGGCUUCUCCCUUUUUCUCUCCCCUUCAGCCCUGGGGAUUGAACCCAGGGCUCUCCCUGAACUCCAUCGCCAGCCCUUUUUAUUCUUCAAGUUGAGACAGGCUCUCACUAAGUGGCAGCGGCUUCCAACAUGUGAUCCUCUGUCUCUGUGUCCCAAGUCCCUGGUGUGUGCCACCGCACUGACUUCAUUGUCGUCACUUCUUGAGAGGCCAGUAGGUCAGAUCUGCAUAAGGACAGAUCUGGGAGUAAUCAGGGCCCCAAGGCCAGAAGGGGCUGCCCAAGGCCCCCAUGCAAAGAGGCCUGGGCACCAGAUCCACCCCUUCCUGGAGGGGCCAAGGGAGCCAGCGUCAGGGGCUCAGCCAUAGCUCAGUCUCUGGGGUCUGGGUGCCUUUGCUCUUGCCCAGUGGGUUCCUUGAAUGUCCUCCCUCGUCACCCCUGGCUCCCCAGGCAUCAUGGGUUCUCAGAGGAGUGGUGCCCUGAGCAGGCAGGACUGCCACUCAGCGGACACUUGCACCUGCAGACACCAAACAGCUGGGUACAGACAGCUGCGAGCUGGUGCAGGAGCUGAGGGGCACCGGGUGGGUUGGUUAGAGGGGCAGGAGAAGGGCAGCAAGACCUGGGGAGGGCAUUCGGGGGCCUGAGGAAACCACACCUGCCCCAUUCACACCCAAUUCCAGUAGGAUGCAAUUCAGGGGCUGAGGUCACGGCUCAGUGGUGGAGCACUUGCCUGGCCCGUGUGAGGCACUGGCUUUGAUCCUCAGCACCACAGUAAGAUAACACACAAAAAGAAAGAUCCAUCUAUACUGAAAAGUAUUUAAAAAAAAAAUCGGAUGCAACUCAAAUGGGAAAUGAGUUGCAGAUUUCUAAAUGGUCUCGGGACAGAAGGGACAGGAAGCUGUAUCAGACUCGUCAGCAAAGCCGUGGACUAGUAAGGGCUUUAUCAUUAGCAAAAAUGAGAAAGGUCCUAUGAAAGUUUAUUUAAAUGAUUAAAAAAAUUUAACUUUGGGAAAUUCAAUUCAACCUUCUUGCCUCCCUCCCUUCCAUAAUGCAAAGGAGCCUCGCUUGCACCAAGUUCUGGGGUAAGCGCCCUGCAGAGGGCAGUUUUGAGACUUCCCUCCAUCGACACUGAAUGACAAAUUUUGUAAACACAUGACAAACCCCUAUUAUUUCGUAAUUUGUAGUUUAGUUUUGCUUUUUAGCUACAGCCCCUGCCAAGCCUGUUGCUCAUGGUUUACUAUGAAAUUUCGGUUAUGUUCAGUGGACUUGUCGCAAGUGGCUAGAUUUUGAUACCAGUGACCCAGAUUUUUGAUACCAGUGACCCUGGAAUGUCACUCAUUCUUGAGCCACGGGAUCAAGGGGACUCAGAACAGGGGCUGGGCUUCCAGAUUCCCAACUUAGGGACCUUUGUCUACUUACAGCCUGGACAGCUAACACCAGAAACCCAGUGUCCACCGGUUGUCUCUGCUUCCUUCCACUCUGCAGCCGGGUCCCCUUUCUCCCCAGCGACAUUCUAAAACCAGUUGAUUAUCCAUGUCACCAGGGAACACAGAACAGACCACACAGCUCAAAACAGUUCGGAUCAGCUUUACAAAAAGUGAGAGGAAACAUCUGUACCUAGUUUUCUUUGGGUUUAAGGAAUUUUUUUCUUUCUUUCUGUUUUUUUUUUUUUUUUGUACCAGGGAUUGAACCCUGGGGCACUAACCCACUGGGCCACACCCCAGCCCUUUCUUGUAUUUCAUUUAGAGCCAGGGUCUCACUGAGUUGCUUAGCGCCUCACUGAGCUGCUGAAGCUGUAUUUGCGAUCCUCCUGCCUCAGCCUCUGAAGCCACUGGGACUACCAGUGGGUGCCACCACGCUGGGCGGUUUAAGGGAAUUCUAACUGAGCACAGACUAGACUACUGGGGGGAAUGGCUGGGGCCCAGGCUGGCACUUGGCGAGUUUCCCGGGAGGGGAUGCCAUCCGGGCAGUAGAUUCUGGGAGGGUGAGGGCAGUGGCUGAGCGUGCAUGAUGUCAUCUGACUGUCACUGAGGCUGCCUCCUAAUUAAGUCAAAGGUCCUCAGAAGGCUGCCAGGAGCGGGCUCCCAGCACGGGGCAAUUCAAAACCAAACCCCCAGCACAGCCACAGAGGGACUAUACACAUGGGCACUUUAUAAAGUCUUUCAGAGGGUUCUCAUCUUCUGCUGUGGCAUUUGGAAAUGUCUUUCAGGUGAGUUUCAGUUCCUACGACGCUUAGAAGCACCCCAUGAAAUGGGUCUCCACGGAGCCCGUGGGAGCUCCCAUCUGCUGUUCUCAAGACCCAGCCCAGGGGCCAGCAAGGGAUGCUGUGGUCUUCUGAGGUCACGCUCCCCGUGUCCCACCCCACAGGCCCCCCCAAGACAGGAAGAGGCCCUGGACAGCUCAGCACUGCAGGUUAGCAGCCAGUCCCUGCCCUGGUGGAAAGGUCAAUGGGAAGGUCAACAUGAUACCCGUGGGAAAGUGUUGCUUUUUUUUUUUCUCUUCUUUUUGCCCCGUUGAGAGCAUCUCUGCCUUCUAGAAAGUUACGCUGAAGGAUGGGCUGAUCCGCCAACACCUCUGGGUUUUCAGCUCAAGUCUGGCUGCUUUAUGACGACUUCCACCUAAUUAAAGAGAACACGGCGUGGACCACGUAGAGCAGCGUGGCGACAUAGGAGAACACCUGGAACCCAGAGAGAGCCCCAUUAGUGUUGGGGGUGGGGGGCAGGCAGGGAGGCCCACGGGUCCACGCUGCCUGGAGCACCACAUGGCCCUUGGGCUGCCACUGCCCGUCACUCAUGCACACACCCUUUCCUGGGUAGCCCAGGUGCAUCCCUAAUCCUCUCCCCACACAGCCCCAGGGGACCUGACUCAAGAUCCCUGGGUCCUAGAAUGCAAGAUGAAACCACCAACUUCACCCAACGUCCAGGUGUGGUCAGCUGACUUGAAAUGGGAACACUGAGGGCCCCUGCAAGGAAAGCAUCCAGGCAGGUGUCAAUGACUCAGUGGAAACUGCCCCCCUCCCCCUCACAGGCACCCAAGAUAGCGGCCACCAGCGAUGGUGGUGGCUGAGCUAUGAGAUCUGAGACAUGGGCCUGCUGGCCCUCGCUGGGGUCUCCAAGCUCCUGGACAUCCUGACCCCUGUUGGACUCUUAUCCUGGGAUCCAUCAUUGCCCAGGCAAGGGUGAAGGUCAGGGUCCAUGGGAAGUACGGGUCAGGGAAGGUAAGGAGGAUGUCUAGCUUUUGUCAAAAAGAAGGGGCUCCCUAAGAAAGCUGUGGCAAUUGCUUACAGUGAAUCAAAAUGCAUUCUGCUGCCAUAUAUAACUGAUUAAAAUGACUUAAUUAAUCAAUUAAAAAUAAUAAAGCUGUGAGAGGAUGCAGAA
RNA transcript from Marmota monax (woodchuck), 9417 nucleotides. It is a transcript of the gene named ral guanine nucleotide dissociation stimulator, with no coding region annotated. NCBI's taxonomy places the organism in Eukaryota, Metazoa, Chordata, Mammalia, Rodentia, Sciuridae. The record is from RefSeq and is a predicted model, not a curated record. The transcript is spliced from 10 exons.